This 502-nucleotide ribosomal RNA is filed under the name uncultured Diversispora. RNAcentral describes it as "SSU rRNA". It matches the Rfam family "Eukaryotic small subunit ribosomal RNA", at positions 569 to 1074 of the family's 1831-position model. The record is from RNAcentral. Lineage: Eukaryota; Fungi; Glomeromycota; Glomeromycetes; Diversisporales; Diversisporaceae.
GGCAGCCGCGGUAAUUCCAGCUCCAAUAGCGUAUAUUAAAGUUGUUGCAGUUAAAAAGCUCGUAGUUGAACUUCGGGGUUUACCCAUUGGUCAGGCUUAAUUGUCUGUACUGGUGAGAUGAAUCUCUACCUUCUGAGGAACUUUCAUGCCAUUUAUUUGGUGUGGUUGGAAAUCAGGACUGUUACUUUGAAAAAUUAGAGUGUUUAAAGCAGACUAUCGUCUGAAUACAUUAGCAUGGAAUAAUGAAAUAGGACGGACUGAUUCUAUUUCGUUGGUUUCUAGGAUCACCGUAAUGAUUAAUAGGGAUAGUUGGGGGCAUUAGUAUUCAAUUGUCAGAGGUGAAAUUCUUGGAUUCAUUGAAGACUAACUACUGCGAAAGCAUUUGCCAAGGAUGUUUUCAUUAAUCAAGAACGAAAGUUAGGGGAUCGAAGACGAUCAGAUACCGUCGUAGUCUUAACCAUAAACUAUGCCGACUAGGGAUCGGACGAAGUUAAUUUUAUAA